AGUUGUUGCAGUUAGAACGCUCGUAGUCGGAUUUCGGGGCGGGGCGACCGGUCUGCCGAUGGGUAUGCACUGGUCGGCGCGUCCUUCCUUCCGGAGACCGUUCCUACUCUUAACUGAGCGGGGGCGGGAGACGGAUCGUUUACUUUGAAAAAAUCAGAGUGUUUCAAGCAGGCAGCUCGCUCUUGCAUGGAUUAGCAUGGGAUAAUGAAAUAGGACUUUGGUGCUAUUUUGUUGGUUUCGAACACCGAAGUAAUGAUUAAAAGGGACAGUCAGGGGCACUCGUAUUCCGCCGAGAGAGGUGAAAUUCUCAGACCAGCGGAAGACGAACCACUGCGAAAGCAUUUGCCAGGGAUGUUUUCACUGAUCAAGAACGAAAGUUAGGGGAUCGAAGACGAUCAGAUACCGUCGUAGUCUUAACCAUAAACCAUGCCGACUAGGGAUUGGGGGAUGUUCACUGAUUGACUCCCUCAGCACCUUACGGGAAACUAAAGUCUUUGGGUUCCGGGGGGAGUAUGGUCGCAAGGCUGAAACUUAAAGGAAUUGACGGAAGGGCACCACCAGGUGUGGAGCCUGCGGCUUAAUUUGACUCAACACGGGGAAACUUACCAAGUCCAGACAUUGCUGAGGAUUGACAGAUUGAGAGCUCUUUCUUGAUUUAAUGGGUGGUGGUG
This 671-nucleotide ribosomal RNA is filed under the name uncultured marine eukaryote. Its description in RNAcentral is "SSU rRNA". It matches the Rfam family "Eukaryotic small subunit ribosomal RNA", at positions 608 to 1282 of the family's 1831-position model. The record is from RNAcentral.